RNAcentral lists this transfer RNA (37 nucleotides) under Dioscorea sansibarensis. RNAcentral's name for it is "partial tRNA-Leu". The record is from RNAcentral. Lineage: Eukaryota; Viridiplantae; Streptophyta; Magnoliopsida; Dioscoreales; Dioscoreaceae. RNAcentral also lists the same sequence under 1 other name.
UCAAGUCCCUCUAUCCCCAAAAAAGUCCAUUUUACUU